UACGUAGGGUGCGAGCGUUAAUCGGAAUUACUGGGCGUAAAGCGUGCGCAGGCGGUUUCUGAAGUCCGUUGUGAAAGCCCCGGGCUUAACCUGGGAAUGGCAGUGGAAACUAGAGAACUCGAAUCUGGCAGAGGGGGGUGGAAUGCCACGUGUAGCAGUGAAAUGCGUAGAUAUGUGGCGGAACACCGAUGGCGAAGGCAGCCCCCUGGGCUGAGAUUGACGCUCAGGCACGAAAGCGUGGGGAGCAAACAGG
This 253-nucleotide ribosomal RNA is filed under the name uncultured bacterium. Its description in RNAcentral is "partial 16S ribosomal RNA". It matches the Rfam family "Bacterial small subunit ribosomal RNA", at positions 524 to 776 of the family's 1533-position model. The record is from RNAcentral.